This 253-nucleotide ribosomal RNA is filed under the name uncultured bacterium. Its description in RNAcentral is "partial 16S ribosomal RNA". It matches the Rfam family "Bacterial small subunit ribosomal RNA", at positions 524 to 776 of the family's 1533-position model. The record is from RNAcentral.
UACGUAGGGGCCUAGCGUUGUCCGGAUUUAUUGGGCGUAAAGAGCUUGUAGGCGGUCUGUCGCGUCUGCUGUGAAAAUCCGGGGCUCAACCCCGGACUUGCAGUGGGUACGGGCAGACUAGAGUGUGGUAGGGGAGACUGGAAUUCCUGGUGUAGCGGUGAAAUGCGCAGAUAUCAGGAGGAACACCGAUGGCGAAGGCAGGUCUCUGGGCCACUACUGACGCUGAGAAGCGAAAGCAUGGGGAUCAAACAGG